Molecule: ribosomal RNA, 301 nt
Filed under: uncultured bacterium
Lineage: Bacteria
Description: partial 16S ribosomal RNA
Rfam family: Bacterial small subunit ribosomal RNA
Source: RNAcentral
CAGCAGCCGCGGGAAUACGUAGGGUGCGAGCGUUAAUCGGAAUUACUGGGCGUAAAGCGUGUGUAGGUGGUUGUUUAAGUCUGUCGUGAAAGCCCUGGGCUCAACCUGGGAAUUGCGAUGGAUACUGGGCGACUAGAGUGCGGUAGAGGAUAGUGGAAUUUCCGGUGUAGCAGUGAAAUGCGUAGAGAUCGGAAGGAACAUCUGUGGCGAAGGCGACUAUCUGGGCCAACACUGACACUGAGACACGAAAGCGUGGGGAGCAAGCAGGAUUAGAUACCCGCGUAGUCCCUGUCUCUUAUAA